UGGGGAAUAUUGCACAAUGGGCGCAAGCCUGAUGCAGCGACGCCGCGUGAGGGAUGACGGCCUUCGGGUUGUAAACCUCUGUUAGCAGGGAAGAAGAGAAAUUGACGGUACCUGCAGAGAAAGCGCCGGCUAACUACGUGCCAGCAGCCGCGGUAAUACGUAGGGCGCGAGCGUUGUCCGGAAUUAUUGGGCGUAAAGAGCUUGUAGGCGGUUUGUCGCGUCUGCUGUGAAAGGCCGGGGCUUAACCCCGUGUAUUGCAGUGGGUACGGGCAGACUAGAGUGCAGUAGGGGAGACUGGAACUCCUGGUGUAGCGGUGGAAUGCGCAGAUAUCAGGAAGAACACCGAUGGCGAAGGCAGGUCUCUGGGCUGUAACUGACGCUGAGAAGCAAAAGCAUGGGGAGCGAACAGGAUUAGAUACCCUGGUAGUCCAUGCCGUAAACGUUGGGCACUAGGUGUGGGGGACAUUCCACGUUUUCCGCGCCGUAGCUAACGCAUUAAGUGCCCCGCCUGGGGAGUACGGCCGCAAGGCUA
RNAcentral lists this ribosomal RNA (532 nucleotides) under uncultured bacterium. RNAcentral describes it as "bacterial SSU rRNA". It matches the Rfam family "Bacterial small subunit ribosomal RNA", at positions 355 to 896 of the family's 1533-position model. The record is from RNAcentral.